UCGAGGAUCUUCGGCAAUGGGGGCAACCCUGACCGAGCGAUGCCGCGUGCGCGAUGAAGGCCUUCGGGUUGUAAAGCGCGAAAGAGGGGAGAAAAGCCCGAAAGGGUUUGAUCUAUCCUCAGUAAGCUCGGGCUAAGUUCGUGCCAGCAGCCGCGGUAAGACGAACCGAGCGAACGUUGUUCGGAAUCACUGGGCUUAAAGGGCGCGUAGGCGGGCUGCCAAGUCUGGGGUGAAAUCCCGCGGCUCAACCGUGGAACUGCCUCAGAUACUGGCGGCCUCGAGGGAGAUAGGGGCGAGCGGAACUAAUGGUGGAGCGGUGAAAUGCGUUGAUAUCAUUAGGAACUCCGGUGGCGAAAGCGGCUCGCUGGAUCUUUUCUGACGCUGAUGCGCGAAAGCUAGGGGAGCAAACGG
RNAcentral lists this ribosomal RNA (411 nucleotides) under uncultured bacterium. Its description in RNAcentral is "bacterial SSU rRNA". It matches the Rfam family "Bacterial small subunit ribosomal RNA", at positions 355 to 775 of the family's 1533-position model. The record is from RNAcentral.